Molecule: ribosomal RNA, 2946 nt
Filed under: Monocercomonoides sp.
Lineage: Eukaryota; Preaxostyla; Oxymonadida; Polymastigidae
Description: partial small subunit ribosomal RNA
Rfam family: Eukaryotic small subunit ribosomal RNA (bases 569-2946)
Source: RNAcentral
GGUUUCCGUAGGUGAAGUCAUAGCUGUCUCAAAGAUUAAGCCAUGCAUGUGUAAGUAUAAACAACUUGUACUUGUGAAACUGCGAAUGGCUCAUUACAACAGUUAUGAUUUAUUUGACAAUGAAGAAGAAUGAAUGAUGUCUUUACUACAUGGAUAGCCGUAGUAAUUCUAGAGCUAAUACAUGCGAGUGUCUUUAGUUUUGCUUGGAUGUGUCAAAAGCAUUCUAGGCAGGAUGGGGCACGAUUAGAAAGAUCCGACUUGGAAAGGAAGGAUGGUAUUUAUUAGAUCGAAAACCAAUAGCAGUGGUUGAAAUCUUUGUCCAUGAGACAGGGGAACCUACUGUGAUGAUUGAUUGAUGAAUCAUGAUAAAUGUCGAAUUGACUCCCAACAAAAGGGGGGUUUGGUUGCCGAGCGAUCGGUGGGCAGAUCUUUCUCGGGAGACGAUGUGUCAUAUAAAUUUCUGACCUAUCAACUUUUGAUGGUAGGAUAGAGGCCUACCAUGGUAUUGACGGGUAACGGAGAAUUAGGGUUUGAUUCCGGAGAGGGAGCCUGAGAGAUGGCUACCACUUCCAAGUGAAGGCAGCAGGCGCGCAAAUUACCCAAUCCCGACUAUGUUACGGGGAGGUAGUGACAAAAAAUAACAAUACGGGGUGUCUAAUGGCAUUCUGCAAUUGUCAUGGUUCUAAUGUAAAUGCUUAGAAGAGAAACGAUUAGAGGGCAAGUCUGGUGCCAGCAGCCGCGGUAAUUCCAGCUCUAAUAGUGUAUACUAAAAUUGCUGCAGUUAAAAAGCUCGUAGUUGGAUUUAGAAAUCUUAGACGUUGCUGCAGUUGACACCCGCUGGUGCUCGCAAGAGUGUUGGAGAUGGGUCACUGUGGUGGACAGUAUUGUCUUCUCAGCUUGUGUUUGUUUAGCUGGUGUAAAAGAGCAAUCUUCUAUAUCAGUGAAACCAGCAUAAGUGUUAUAAGGCAUGACUGUAAUGGGUUAUGCUUUGUGCCGAUGAUUCUAGUGAUAAAGCUUUCUCGUUAUGAUAGGGAUAAGUUACUCGAAAGAGGCUUUCUACUAAAUUGAGAGGCGCUAGAAGGCACUGGGAAGAGGCUCUGUUGUGGUUAUAAUGGACUGCAAUGGGGUAAGGUUUAUUGAUUCGGAGUUGUCGAGGAAGCACUUAAAUGCUGUUUCUGUUUUCGAUUAAGGCAGGGUUCAUUAGCGUGGAUUCUGUUGAAUUCCGGAGAUUUUACUUUGAAGAAAAUGGAGUGUUCAAAGCAGGCGUUUGUUUGCCUAUAACGGGCAGAGAAAGAUCGCAACUGAACACAUUAGCAUGGAAUAAUAAAACAAGACACUUGAUUAGGAAUGAAAGGGCUUUGAUGUCAAGCAAGGCUUGUUGUUCGUCGAGUAAAAUUGGCGGAUGACCAGGACUAAUUAUCUAGCUCGAUUGUUGGGAUAGAUAUUUGUAUUUUAUUGGUUUAUGAAAGAGGUGUAAUGAUUAAGAGGGACAGUUGGGGGUAUCUGUAUUGCAUUGUCAGAGGUGAAAUUCUUGGAUUUAUGCAAGACAAACAAGUGCGAAAGCAUUUACCAAGGAUGUUUUCAUUAAUCAAGAACGAAAGUUAGGGGAUCGAAGGCGAUCAGAAACCGCCCUAGUCUUAACUAUAAACGAUGCCAACUAGGGAUUGACGGGAUGAUAUUCGUCAGAGUUUGGUCUGUAAAAAGGAUCACUCUGAAGAGGAUAUUGCUUUUAAAUAUAUAUGAAUAUGCAGUAAAUGGUGGCGAGACGGACAACCUACCGGCCUUGCCGAUAUGAGUCUACAUAUUCUUUAAGCCCUGCCAGCACCUUUAGAGAAAUCGAAGAAGUCUCUGGGUUCUGGGGGGAGUAUGGUCGCAAGUCUGAAACUUAAAGAAAUUGACGGAAGGGCACCACCAGGUGUGGAGCCUGCGGCUUAAUUUGACUCAACACGGGGAAACUUACCAGGUCCAGACACGGGAAGGAUUGACAGAUUGAUAGUUCUUUCUUGAUUCCGUGGGUGGUGGUGCAUGGUCGUUCUUAGUUGGUGGAGUGAUUUGUCUGGUUAAUUCCGAUAACGAACGAGACCUCAACCUGCUAAAUAGGAUGAUGAUUUAUGAUUCACGUGCUUUGUGUCUGUGAUGUUUGUUUUUGACUUUGUGUGUGCCUUGUGCACGGAUGAGGUUGGAGAUGGAUGAGCAGAUAUUGAAGGAUGGGGAUGUAAAAUUUAGGAUAAUUCGCUAUGCUUAUAUGGUGUAGAUGUUAGAGGUUUGUUGCUGAGCAAUCGGUGAUGACAGCUAGCUGAUAACUGUAUAAGUGAAUUAUUGAAAUCAUUAUUUUGAAAUAUAUUUAGUGUGAUUGUCUCUGGAAUGAUGAGUUUCGGCUUGUUGUUUUAGAGGGGAUUGUACUAAACCUGCUUAGAGGGACUACCAUGGUUGCACAUGGGGGAAGCAUGAGGCAAUAACAGGUCUGUGAUGCCCUUAGAUGUCCUGGGCCGCACGCGCGCUACACUGAUGAAGUCAACGAGUUGUUGUUACUGCCCCUUUGAAAUAAAAGGAUGCAAGUUAUGCGACUGUACAAGGGCCUUCACGGGUUCUUGCUUGCAGAUGUAUUUGACUUGUAUUCUCAAAGGGAUGGUGAUUUCCUUAUCCGAAAGGAUUGGGUAAUCUUGUGAAACUUUAUCGUGAUGGGGAUUGAUCUUUGUAAUUUUGGAUCAUGAACGAGGAAUACCUAGUAAGCGCAAUUCAUCAGAUUGCGUUGAUUACGUCCCUGCCCUUUGUACACACCGCCCGUCGCUCCUACCGAUUGAAUGAUCAGAUGAAAUGUUUGGAUUGGUGGGUUGUAGGAAAGCAUGUAGUGUGUUAUGAUUUCGGUUGUAGUGCGCUAUUUUUUCUGGAGCCUAGUGAGAAGAACAGUGAAUCUUAUUAUUUAGAGGAAGGAGAAGUCGUAAC